AGGGAAACCGAGUCUUAACUGGGCGUUAAGUUGCAGGGUAUAGACCCGAAACCCGGUGAUCUAGCCAUGGGCAGGUUGAAGGUUGGGUAACACUAACUGGAGGACCGAACCGACUAAUGUUGAAAAAUUAGCGGAUGACUUGUGGCUGGGGGUGAAAGGCCAAUCAAACCGGGAGAUAGCUGGUUCUCCCCGAAAGCUAUUUAGGUAGCGCCUCGUGAAUUCAUCUUCGGGGGUAGAGCACUGUUUCGGCCAGGGGGUCAUCCCGACUUACCAACCCGAUGCAAACUGCGAAUACCGAAGAAUGUUAUCACGGGAGACACACGGCGGGUGCUAACGUCCGUCGUGAAGAGGGAAACAACCCAGACCGCCAGCUAAGGUCCCAAAGUCAUGGUUAAGUGGGAAACGAUGUGGGAAGGCACAGACAGCCAGGAUGUUGGCUUAGAAGCAGCCAUCAUUUAAAGAAAGCGUAAUAGCUCACUGGUCGAGUCGGCCUGCGCGGAAGAUGUAACGGGGCUAAACCAUGCACCGAAGCUGCGGCAGCGACACUCUGUGUUGUUGGGUAGGGGAGCGUUCUGUAAGCCGUUGAAGGUGUGCUGUGAGGCAUGCUGGAGGUAUCAGAAGUGCGAAUGCUGACAUAAGUAACGAUAAUGCGGGUGAAAAACCCGCACGCCGGAAGACCAAGGGUUCCUGUCCAACGUUAAUCGGGGCAGGGUGAGUCGACCCCUAAGGCGAGGCCGAAAGGCGUAGUCGAUGGGAAACAGGUUAAUAUUCCUGUACUUGGUGUUACUGCGAAGGGGGGACGGAGAAGGCUAUGUUAGCCGGGCGACGGUUGUCCCGGUUUAAGCAUGUAGGCGGAGCGUUUAGGUAAAUCCGGACGCUUAUUAACGCUGAGGUGUGAUGACGAGGCACUACGGUGCUGAAG
RNAcentral lists this ribosomal RNA (922 nucleotides) under Salmonella enterica. RNAcentral's name for it is "partial 23S ribosomal RNA". It matches the Rfam family "Bacterial large subunit ribosomal RNA", at positions 670 to 1590 of the family's 2925-position model. The record is from RNAcentral. RNAcentral also lists the same sequence under 1 other name. Lineage: Bacteria; Pseudomonadati; Pseudomonadota; Gammaproteobacteria; Enterobacterales; Enterobacteriaceae.